UGGGUACUGAUAUCUUCUUCUACUUUCCUCGGCCUUCUUCUCUGCAUCACCACCAUCCUCACUCUGGUUUUCUCCUCCAUCGCUUUGUUCACUCUGCCUCUCACUUUCAUUUUCGUUUUCGUUUUCAUUUUCAGUUUCUCGCCCAUUAGAACUCUUCUUCUCUACAUCCUCUUCUUCUUCUUCUUCUUUGGCAUCCUCCUUCUCUUUCAAAUCCAGUUUCUGAAACUCAUCAAGGUGAUCCUCCCCCUCCUCCUCCUCCUCCUUCUCCUUCAAAUCCAGCUUCUGAAGCUCAUCAAGGACCGCAUGAUCGAAAUCAGACGGUGCGGGAUCGGGAUCGGAGGAAGAAGGCAGAAACACUAGUUCGGAAUGGCUGGGUUGGUGGUGCUCAUCGAUGUGGUGGUUGUUGUUGGCAUCGAGAUUUGGGGGAACAGAGAUAGCUUCAGAGAC
Molecule: long non-coding RNA, 447 nt
Filed under: Prunus persica (peach)
Lineage: Eukaryota; Viridiplantae; Streptophyta; Magnoliopsida; Rosales; Rosaceae
Description: long non-coding RNA (PPER_LNC005482)
Source: RNAcentral